UUUCUGCUGAGGACGACCGGUCCGCCCUCUGGGUGAGUAUCUGGCUUGGCCUUGGCAUCUUCUUGGAGAACGUAGCUGCACUUGACUGUGUGGUGCGGUAUCCAGGACUUUUACUUUGAGGAAAUUAGAGUGUUUCAAGCAGGCACACGCCUUGAAUACAUUAGCAUGGAAUAAUAAGAUAGGACCUUGGUUCUAUUUUGUUGGUUUCUAGAGCUGAGGUAAUGAUUAAGAGGGACUGACGGGGGCAUUCGUAUUACGGU
Molecule: ribosomal RNA, 260 nt
Filed under: uncultured dinoflagellate
Lineage: Eukaryota; Dinophyceae
Description: partial 18S ribosomal RNA
Rfam family: Eukaryotic small subunit ribosomal RNA (bases 97-260)
Source: RNAcentral